Molecule: long non-coding RNA, 3202 nt
Filed under: Nicotiana tabacum (common tobacco)
Lineage: Eukaryota; Viridiplantae; Streptophyta; Magnoliopsida; Solanales; Solanaceae
Description: long non-coding RNA (NTAB_LNC000482)
Source: RNAcentral
UAGGAGCACAAGGUAUUAAUAUGUUUAUGUAAAAAAAAAAUUUAAGCAUAACUCAAUACAAGCAAUCGCUUAUAAAUUCAUUAAUGCUACUCCAAAGCGCUGCUCUGCGAUUUCUCAAGCUACUGACUUCCCAACAACUAGUACAAUAACUACUUCUUCCACCAUUUUCGUAUCAUUCAAUAAAAAAUAAGUCAAUAGUACUGUAAAUGAAGUCAUUAACUAGAUACAUAAUAUUGCAGAUUAAAAAUAGUAGAUACAUAAUGUUGCAGAAACAUAAUAAACCACAAAGACUAGACAACAAAUGCAACUUUCCCAAGCAUAGCAACAAAAUCCAGAACAUCCUUCAAUAAUUUUCUCUUGCUUACUCCAUAACAAACCUGCAUCUCAAGAAAAACAGUCAUUAGUGAUAAUAUUUGAUGAUGCUCUCUUAACAUAGCAGCAGUAUUAUAACCAAAUAAAAAACUAAUAGGUCUACUACAACUUCAUCAAUACCUCCUCCCCCCCCCCCCAAUUCCAAAUAGAUAAAAAGUGCAUUAGUGCAUUACAUAAGCUAGCCAUAAUUAUUUAUACAACUUUACUUAUCAAUGCGAACUAAGUUUAUCAAGAUACGGAUGAAGAUCUACCGCAAUUUCAUCCUCCUCGCUAUCUGAUUCAUUGCAAUCUUACAAAAACAAACAAGAAAAAAUAAAAAUAAUUUAUUGAAAUACUAUUAUAGAAGAACAAAACAAAAAAAUGAUAUACAUAGAAUGAUUUACCUUUUUUCCCGCAAAAUCAAUCUCUAGUACACAACUUCGCCUCUGCAUUUGCAGAUAAAAUAGAGUUUUGAAACAUCCCAAUAAUGUGACCUCUAAUGCUAAAGGUAGAUUCCGAGGCUACGAUGGUAAUAGGUAUACUCAAGACAUCUCGUUCCAUCAAUAAGAGUUAGUCUAUUUUUCUUCCAAAAGACAAGUACAUCCAAAUUUGCAUUUGCUUUACGGUCAAGAUUAGGCUCCUCGAAGUACAAAUCUAAUUAUGUUUUAUCUCUACCAGACUCCAACUGGUUCUCAAAUAUGUCAAAAUUCUCAAGCUCAUCUCUUGCUUUAUUGGUAUCUCUACCAUAAACUUGCUCCCCCAAUAAGGAAAUUGAGGUUGAAGUUACCAAGUAUUCCUUGAACAAUAAUUGCAAAUGAUCUUCAGCAACUUUUACCCUUGCAUCAGCAGUCAUAGGAUCAAUUUUGAAGAAAUAAAAUUUCACAAACUUCAUUUUGUAUCGGGGAUCAAGGACAAUGGCAAGUGAUAAGAUCUUACUGUAAGACCUCCAAUAUUUUUUAAAUUUUCUUAACAUUAAUGUAGCCAUCUCAUUCAUAAUUGGGUCACUACCAUCUCUUUCUUCCUCUAACAACAUUUGAAUUUUUCAUACAUUAGGUAGAUACAAAUUAGCAGUUGGAUAUUUGCUUCCAGAAAAUACUGUAGUGAUGUCAUAAAAUGGCUUAAAAAACUUAGCAAUAGACUCUACCUUUUUCCAUUCCUCAUCAGAGAGACCAUAUUUAAAAUCAGUAUCAACUAACUUAUAUUGAAUAUAAGCUUGCUGGUAGAGGAGAGCACUUUCAAGCAUUUGAUAAGUAGAAUUCCAACGAAUAGUCAUAUCUUGGCGAAGCUUCUUCGAACACGGUAGCCCAAGAUUUUUAAUUCAUUCCACGAACUUCAAAAUUCUUCCUUCCGAAUGUUUUAUAUGCUUAAUACCUUCUCUAAUUUUUACAAUAGAUGCAUCAGCUUUUUUCAAACCUGCCUUCACAAUUAAAUUCAAGACAUGGUUCCCAUAACGAACAUGAAAGAACUUUCCAUUACAAACUAGUGAACGCCUCAAAGAUAAAUGUUCCUUUAAAAUAUCAACCACACCCCUAUUACAACUAGCAUUAUCCAAAGUAAGAGUGAAGAUUUUCUUUUCAAUAUCCCAUUCCUUAAUAAACUCAAUUAGCAAGGUACCUAAAACCGAACCAGAAUGUGGAGGGGGCACAUGACGGAAAAUCAACACUCUCUUUUGAAGAAUCAAAUUCAAAUCAACAUAAUGAGCGGUUAAACACAUAUAUCCAUUUGAUGCUACAGAAGUUCACAUGUCUGAAGUCAAACACACUCUACUAGGAAUCUCUACAAGCUCAUUCUUUAAAAAUUCUUUUUCCCUAGCAUACAUUUUCAAAAUAUCAGACUUGGCGGUAUUUCUUGAAAUAGUUUUCACCAUUGGAUUUAAAUACAAAUGGAUAUCCCUGUUUCCUUGAUGCUCGGCAAAGCUAAAAGGAUAAUUAUGCUUCAGAAUUGCCACAGACAAUUUCUCACGAUAAAUUGCUUGAUCAAUUGGCUCAUCCCUACGCUCUUGUCUAUUAUUUAUGUGUGUAUCAAUAUGUCGCUUCAAAUUUGAAGUUCCAGACCUAGAGUCUGCCACAUAGAUCAUCUUACAGACUUUACAUUGCGCUUUACCUCUUUCACCAUUGCUAGCAAGAAGCAAUUUUUGAAAAGUAUUCCAAACAAUGGAAGUAUUUUUUUUAACUCGUUUUGUUGGGACUGAAGAACUAAUCUCUGACUCCUCAAUCGCCUCCUCAUUAACUUCUAUAGACAUCUCUGCCUAACAUAGAAAGUUUCAAAUACAAGCCUAGCAUAUUUAAUAUUUGAACAUAAAACAUAAUGAUUCAAAAUAUUAAGCAAACGACAAACCAAAAAGGGCUAUAAACAUCUCAAAAAUAGAAGAUUAAGCACAAAUUUCUGGAAAGGGAGUACUUUUUUUUUCUUUUUUGCAAUCCCUAAAAUAAAAAAUAAAACAAUGCUGAAACUAUUAUACAUGAAUCAAAGUAGAAAAUUAGUUAAAUCCCUAAAUAUUCAAGAAAUCCUCCGUAAAACCAUAACCUUAUAAAAUAAAAUAAAAUAACUUCUGCUUAUUUUUAGAGUUAGUCACAAACCCUAGCAGUCUAGCCUAAAAUUUGAAAAAAGAAAGGAAAAGAUGAAAAAGAGGGAAGAUGAGGAAGAAGGGUUUCAGAUGAGGAGAAGUUACCAUUGAGAAGAUUUGCCCGUGGAAGAAAGAGAAGAAGUUGAUGUUGGAAAAUUCUUCUGAGUUGUGAGAGUUUGGAAAAAUCGCAUAGAGCUUAACCCAUAUAGACAACUCGUAUAUUACCCAGUUUUUUACCCACAAAUACCCAUAUUUUUACGGGUAAAUAUGGGCUGAAGCCCAAAU